UGCCCGAUAGUGUAACGGUAGCACAUCAGAUUCUGAUUCUGCUUGUCUUGGUUCGAAUCCAGGUCGGGUAA
RNAcentral lists this transfer RNA (71 nucleotides) under Chitinophagaceae bacterium. RNAcentral's name for it is "tRNA-Gln". It matches the Rfam family "tRNA". From Rfam's summary of the family: Transfer RNA (tRNA) molecules are approximately 80 nucleotides in length. Lineage: Bacteria; Pseudomonadati; Bacteroidota; Chitinophagia; Chitinophagales; Chitinophagaceae. The record is from RNAcentral. RNAcentral also lists the same sequence under 3 other names.